RNAcentral lists this transfer RNA (781 nucleotides) under Bradyrhizobium sp. SEMIA 695. RNAcentral describes it as "partial contains 16S-23S ribosomal RNA intergenic spacer and 23S ribosomal RNA". The stretch from base 170 to 243 matches the Rfam family "tRNA". The record is from RNAcentral. Lineage: Bacteria; Pseudomonadati; Pseudomonadota; Alphaproteobacteria; Hyphomicrobiales; Nitrobacteraceae.
CGUUUUAGAAACAUUCAGGGGCCAACAGUUUCAGGAUUGUUGAGCUCCAUUGGCGGGAUUUCGCCGUCUUCGUUUCUCUUUCUUCGCGGACGAACACGCGCCAGGGGCUGAGCGCUGUGCGAUGCACCGACUUCAGGUCGGGUGUGCGCCGGCACGUCUCUCGUGUUAGGGGCUUGUAGCUCAGUUGGUUAGAGCGCGCGCUUGAUAAGCGUGAGGUCGGAAGUUCAAGUCUUCCCAGGCCCACCAUUUUGAUCGAGUGCGGAGCAUUCGUCUUCUGGUACGGGGCCAUAGCUCAGCUGGGAGAGCGCGUGCUUUGCAAGCAUGAGGUCGUCGGUUCGAUCCCGUCUGGCUCCACCAGAUGGUUUGAUCACCAAUGGCGUCACCGUCGUCCGCGAAACAUCACUUCGCACUCAUUGGUCCGGAUGGACGGUGACGUGCGUGUUUUCUGACAUCGUAAAGAGGAGAUCGAUCCGAGUUUGGAUCAAGCGAAGCAAUUCGCCUGGGCCAUUCAUUAUCUCCGGGAUCAUUUCGGCGCUCGCUUUCAAUCGUGAGAUUGGAUGCGGGUUGUAAAUGAUCUCUUUUAGCGAAGCUUGACCGCCUCGCUAUCGGGCCGAUCUUACGAAGCAAGCUGGUCUUUCUAGUCAAUGUCCGGCUGCGCAAUCGCGUUCAUCGAGGAUGCGUGCCUGAGACUUCGGUCUUCGGGCAAUUGUGCAGACAACAUUCUGCCGAGUGUGUGGACAUUGAUAAUGAGAGCAAUCAAGUGCCUUAAGGGUGUUCGGUG